AACGAACGCUGGCGGCAUGCCUAACACAUGCAAGUCGAACGAGACCUUCGGGUCUAGUGGCGCACGGGUGCGUAACACGUGGGAAUCUGCCCUUUGCUUCGGAAUAACAGUUAGAAAUGACUGCUAAUACCGGAUGAUGUCGAAAGACCAAAGAUUUAUCGGCAAAGGAUGAGCCCGCGUAGGAUUAGGUAGUUGGUGGGGUAAAGGCCUACCAAGCCGACGAUCCUUAGCUGGUCUGAGAGGAUGAUCAGCCACACUGGGACUGAGACACGGCCCAGACUCCUACGGGAGGGAGCAGUGGGGAAUAUUGGACAAUGGGCGAAAGCCUGAUCCAGCAAUGCCGCGUGAGUGAUGAAGGCCUUAGGGUUGUAAAGCUCUUUUACCAGGGAUGAUAAUGACAGUACCUGGAGAAUAAGCUCCGGCUAACUCCGUG
This 433-nucleotide ribosomal RNA is filed under the name uncultured bacterium. Its description in RNAcentral is "partial 16S ribosomal RNA". It matches the Rfam family "Bacterial small subunit ribosomal RNA", at positions 29 to 507 of the family's 1533-position model. The record is from RNAcentral.